Long non-coding RNA from Rhincodon typus (whale shark), 435 nucleotides. RefSeq lists it as uncharacterized. The transcript is spliced from 2 exons. The record is from RefSeq and is a predicted model, not a curated record. NCBI's taxonomy places the organism in Eukaryota, Metazoa, Chordata, Chondrichthyes, Orectolobiformes, Rhincodontidae.
GAGCCAAGAAAUGUUUUAUUCACUCUCCACCCCCAAAAAAGUCUCUUGCAGCCAGAAGUUGGAAACUCCUACUGCCAAGUGAAAAUGAAAACGUCUAUUCUAGAAGUGACUUAAGGUGGUUUCUAUAAUCAAAUUAAAAUCCAAAUGUGCAUUCAAAAGAACGAUAAAAGGUGGCACUUUGUCCUGCUGGAAAUUCAUGCGAACAGGAGGCCAGAUUGACAGCAAGACUAGGUACGAAAGCGGACUGGAUGUAAGCAGCCCUCCAAAAGCGGACGGGAAAGGGAGAAGCAGCGCCUUCCCGCUCACUUCUCGCGCUUAAUUACGCGAGACCUUCAACAGCACCCCCUUUCCAAAUGUCCUUUAAAUUAACACCACGCGUCCGUCUCUCCUGCAAUUAUUACUCCAGAGUUCUGAACUAAAAUAAACUUCGAAAAA